Molecule: ribosomal RNA, 508 nt
Filed under: Staphylococcus aureus
Lineage: Bacteria; Bacillati; Bacillota; Bacilli; Caryophanales; Staphylococcaceae
Description: bacterial LSU rRNA
Rfam family: Bacterial large subunit ribosomal RNA
Source: RNAcentral
GAAAAGCACCCCGGAAGGGGAGUGAAAUAGAACCUGAAACCGUGUGCUUACAAGUAGUCAGAGCCCGUUAAUGGGUGAUGGCGUGCCUUUUGUAGAAUGAACCGGCGAGUUACGAUUUGAUGCAAGGUUAAGCAGUAAAUGUGGAGCCGUAGCGAAAGCGAGUCUGAAUAGGGCGUUUAGUAUUUGGUCGUAGACCCGAAACCAGGUGAUCUACCCUUGGUCAGGUUGAAGUUCAGGUAACACUGAAUGGAGGACCGAACCGACUUACGUUGAAAAGUGAGCGGAUGAACUGAGGGUAGCGGAGAAAUUCCAAUCGAACCUGGAGAUAGCUGGUUCUCUCCGAAAUAGCUUUAGGGCUAGCCUCAAGUGAUGAUUAUUGGAGGUAGAGCACUGUUUGGACGAGGGGCCCCUCUCGGGUUACCGAAUUCAGACAAACUCCGAAUGCCAAUUAAUUUAACUUGGGAGUCAGAACAUGGGUGAUAAGGUCCGUGUUCGAAAGGGAAACAGC